UACGAAGGGGGCUAGCGUUGCUCGGAUUUACUGGGCGUAAAGCGCACGUAGGCGGCUUGUUAAGUCAGGGGUGAAAUCCUGGAGCUCAACUCCAGAACUGCCUUUGAUACUGGCGAGCUUGAGUUCGGGAGAGGUGAGUGGAACUGCGAGUGUAGAGGUGAAAUUCGUAGAUAUUCGCAAGAACACCAGUGGCGAAGGCGGCUCACUGGCCCGAUACUGACGCUGAGGUGCGAAAGCGUGGGGAGCAAACAGG
Molecule: ribosomal RNA, 253 nt
Filed under: uncultured bacterium
Lineage: Bacteria
Description: partial 16S ribosomal RNA
Rfam family: Bacterial small subunit ribosomal RNA
Source: RNAcentral